This 483-nucleotide long non-coding RNA is filed under the name Rattus norvegicus (Norway rat). RNAcentral's name for it is "long non-coding RNA NONRATT008033". The record is from RNAcentral. Lineage: Eukaryota; Metazoa; Chordata; Mammalia; Rodentia; Muridae.
AAUGCCACACCAUACUAAGUGGGGCUGGCUGAGGCCACUAGGAAGGGAGGCAGCGGCCUGUAGCAAGAACGGGCUUUUGGGCAAAAGGACACAAAAAGGAGGGAGCCUGUGAGGGGAGACGGGUGGUCAGACAGCAGCUGUCCUAGACAGAGCUUGGGACAGGCACGGGGCACCUAUGAGAGAGGGCCUGGGGGGAGGGGCUGGGCUGGACCUCACUUCCUUAGCCUCCCCUUGGUGGUGAGAAGGUGUGAGCCCUGCAGAGGCCCAGAAAGGCUGGCGCUGUCUUGGACUCCAAGUACCAGCUGCUCUGAAAGCUCAGGCCAACACUUUUCCGAGUGGAGCUUUUGCUUUGCCCUGUGGCACCACCUGGUGGCAGCAUGGUGUAUCAUCGGGGAAGUUAGGGAAGGGCAAAGACACAGAGUGUGGUAGGACAGGGGGUUCUGAUCUGAUAAAAGUUGCUAACCGAGUACUCACUACGCUGAA